GGCGAACGCUGGCGGCGUGCCUAAUACAUGCAAGUCGAGCGGAGUUAGAGAAGCUUGCUUCUCUAAUUUAGCGGCGGACGGGUGAGUAACACGUGGGCAAUCUGCCCGUAAGACUGGGAUAACUCCGGGAAACCGGGGCUAAUACCGGAUAAUACUGACUCUCUCCUGAGAGUCAGUUGAAAGAUGGUUACGGCUAUCACUUACGGAUGAGCCCGCGGCGCAUUAGCUAGUUGGUAGGGUAAUGGCCUACCAAGGCGACGAUGCGUAGCCGACCUGAGAGGGUGAUCGGCCACACUGGGACUGAGACACGGCCCAGACUCCUACGGGAGGCAGCAGUAGGGAAUCUUCCGCAAUGGACGAAAGUCUGACGGAGCAACGCCGCGUGAGUGAAGAAGGUUUUCGGAUCGUAAAACUCUGUUGUUAGGGAAGAACACGUACGAGAGUAACUGCUCGUACCUUGACGGUACCUAACCAGAAAGCCACGGCUAACUACGUG
RNAcentral lists this ribosomal RNA (496 nucleotides) under uncultured bacterium. Its description in RNAcentral is "bacterial SSU rRNA". It matches the Rfam family "Bacterial small subunit ribosomal RNA", at positions 28 to 507 of the family's 1533-position model. The record is from RNAcentral.